GUUAGUUUGUAGCUCAGUUAGCAGCCUCUGAAAGUUCCAGAGGUCACUUUGACAACAUGUGAUACAGUACGGAGGUGAUUUACAGCAGCUCAGACCAGAAUGAUGACUCAAACCAAGAAUGUUUUGAUGUUUUGCCACCACUGUUGGAGCAGCUGAGAACUUCACUGGUUCUUCCUGAGACAUCGUUGUCAAAAACAACAUUACGGAGGAAAGUAAAUAUGACAGUAGUGAUGAAUUGUUUCCUGCAUGACACACAGACACACCUGCCAUGUGAAACCAGACACACCUUCCUGCAGCAGCAGAGGAGUGGAGUGUUUCCAACAUACCAGUCCCUUCAUGAGAUCCCAUUUACCUUCUCAGCAUCUCCUCGGG
Long non-coding RNA from Acanthopagrus latus (yellowfin seabream), 372 nucleotides. RefSeq lists it as uncharacterized. NCBI's taxonomy places the organism in Eukaryota, Metazoa, Chordata, Actinopteri, Spariformes, Sparidae. The transcript has 3 exons. The record is from RefSeq and is a predicted model, not a curated record.